AAAACCCGCAGUGAUGGAGGGAGAGUGAGAAGGAGAAGGAGAAUGAGAAAGACAGAGGCGGUGUUCUACGCGGAUACCUACCAUCCGAUCCAAGCCGGAAGCAUCGACGGCACCGACACUCUCCCUCACGACAGCGCCGUCUAUCGAGCCUGGCUUUGCUCCUCCGCCGCCCUCUAUGACCCCUCCGGCGAUCCCAAGCUCAUCGGCGACCCCUACUGCACUCUCUUCGUCGCCCGCCUCUCUCCCCUCACCACCGAAAACACUCUUCGCCAGGCUAUGAGCAAGUAUGGUCGGGUUAAGAACUUGCGGUUGGUCAGGCAUAUUGUAACCGGUGCCUCACGUGGCUAUGCUUUCGUUGAGUAUGAAACCGAAAGGGAGAUGCGGCGUGCAUACAAGGAAGCUCACCAUUCCCUUGUUGAUGAUUAUGAAAUUAUCGUGGAUUACAACAGACAGCAGUUGAUGCCAGGAUGGAUUCCAAGACGAUUAGGAGGGGGUUUUGGUGGUAAGAAGGAAUCUGGACAACUUCGAUUUGGAGGACGAGAAAGACCAUUUCGAGCUCCCAUUCGUAUCCCAUAUGAUGAUCUGGAGAAACUUGGAAUCCCACCUCCACCAGAAGGGCGAUACAUGUCCCGGUAUCAGGACCCAUCCCCACCUAGAAGAAAAAGAAGCUCAGUAGAUGGGGAAGAAGGUACUCACAGAAGGUCAAUGGAUAGGGAAGCGAACAUACGCAAAAGCAAUCCUGCAGAUAAUGAUGACAGGUUUCAUAAAAGAUCUAUGGAUGAGGACUACCAUUCAUCCAGAAGGAGCUCUGAUGAGUCAGCUCAACGCCAUCACAGUAGGAGCUCUAGAGAUAGAGAAGGAGGUACUCACAGAAGGUCAAUGGAUAGGGAAGCGAACAUACGCAAAAGCAAUCCUGGAGAUAACGAUGACAGGUUUCAUAAAAGAUCUAUGGAUGAGGACUACCAUUCAUCCAGAAGGAGCUCUGAUGAGUCAGCUCAACGCCAUCACCGUAGGAGCUCUAGAGAUAGAGAAGGAGGUACUCACAGAAGGUCUACUGAUAGGGAAACAAGCAUGCCCAAAAGCAGUCCUGUCGACAAGGAAGAGUCGUUUCGUAAAAGAUCUAUGGACCAGGAGGACCGUUCAUUCAAAAGGAACUCCAUUGAGACCGAAGAAUUCCAUCGCAGUAGGAGAUCUGUGGACACGGAGGAGCGUUCACACAAAAGGAGCUCUAGGGAUAGGGAUGAGCGUUCUCACAAGCGGCACAAGUCCCGUCACUAUGAGAGGUCCACUAGUUAUGAUCGCUCUUAAAACUCGGAACUGAGAAGGGCAGCAAUGGUAAUGAUAUGUAAAACCGUAAGGAGAGGAGUGAGGAAAUCUGACUAAGGAAGUGUUUUUGCUUAAGACCCUGCUGGAACACUAAGAACUAGUGAUUGAGCACAAAAUGCAGGAGGAGCUAUUGGUGGACUUCAGCUGCAUCAAAAUAGAAUUGGGCAACAUUAAGAUUCCUGCUAAGGUAGCCAGCUUAUUGCUGAUCCGUUUUCUUGUAUAGUAUCCUUAGCAUGAGGAUUAUACAACUGGGGCAGAGCAGAAACAGUUAGUUUUGAACUUCUAUUUUUGCUCCUGAAAGUCGGCAAAGAUUAUUUAAGUUUAGUUUCAGCAUAAGUUAAGAGUUUGCUCGAACUUUACUCUACUCGGCAUCACAAUAUAGUAUCAGCUCCAUGCAAAUUGCGGAGGUACUCUGAACUAUUACUGUGUUGACUCAACAUUUGAGGAAGUUUUAGAAAAGAGGGUUGGCUACUUGCAUCAUGGAAUCUUUAUAUCACAUCUUCAAAGGGUGCAGCUUUCUCCUCGAGAGUGGUCAAAACCUCCACUUGUGGUGAGUUCUUUUCCACCUUCUCCCACCCACUUUGUGACUGGUUAUUGGUUAAUUUGAAGUCAAAUGUUUCAUGCAUACAAGGUGCCUUGGUACUGCUAUUUUGCUGUGGCUCUUUGGUACAUUUGGAAGUGGAGAUGUAGUAUAUUUGAUCCAGUUCCAGACAGACAGUAGUGCGCACAUUGUAAGAGAUCGAUCAGAAAAUCAAAGAGUGGAUUUGACAAUCAGUAGUUGAUAUCAAGCAGAAGCAAUGACCUUAGGGAUCAUAGCCAAGUGCUGUAGUUUUUUUGAAAAGCUCCGAUGGAAAGAACACACCGCAUUUCACCAUGGACAAUUUUACAGAAUAGAACUGGAAAUAGCAACGUGUUGAAGCUUGUUAUUUGUGAGAGUCAAGAAUAUAGGAUCGUUAAGCGGCGAAAGGAAUUAUUCAAGCAAUGUGCUAAAGAUCACUAUGAAGUUGACUAGAAGUUGCUUCUUGAAAAGGGAAGGCUACAUGAUGAAGAUCAUGAUAGGUAGAAAUAUGGCGGAAGUUAUAAACAUGGUUUGUAUCUCACUUAAUUGUUAAUGGAAUUGUGAAACAAAGUUAUUGGGUUAGGAUGAUAUUCUGCCCAAUUGACUGACUUGAGAAGCAGGUUGAAUAUUAAUUAGAUAAAUACGAUCUUGUAUUCUUGUAACGUACUAAUUUUAUAUCAAAUUGUGUAGGUUGUACGUACUUUUCGCACUAAA
Molecule: RNA transcript, 2599 nt
Organism: Rosa rugosa (rugosa rose)
Lineage: Eukaryota; Viridiplantae; Streptophyta; Magnoliopsida; Rosales; Rosaceae
Gene name: U11/U12 small nuclear ribonucleoprotein 35 kDa protein
Exons: 9
Source: RefSeq, a predicted model, not a curated record